This 442-nucleotide ribosomal RNA is filed under the name uncultured bacterium. Its description in RNAcentral is "bacterial SSU rRNA". It matches the Rfam family "Bacterial small subunit ribosomal RNA", at positions 28 to 434 of the family's 1533-position model. The record is from RNAcentral.
GAUGAACGCUGGCGGCGUGCUUAACACAUGCAAGUCGAACGGAGCGCCUUUGAAAGAGGAUUCGUCCAAUUGAUAAGGUUGCUUAGUGGCGGACGGGUGAGUAACGCGUGAGGAACCUGCCUUGGAGUGGGGAAUAACAGUCCGAAAGGAUUGCUAAUACCGCAUACGUCAGCGGCGCCUACGGGCGCUGUUGGGAAAGAUGGGCCCUCUCCUUGGAAGCUAUCACCGGAAGAUGAGCCCGCGUCCCAUCAGCUAGUUGGUGAGGUAACGGCUCACCAAGGCUUAGACGGGUAGCUGGUCUGAGAGGAUGAUCAGCCACACUGGGACUGCGACACGGCCCAGACUCCUACGGGAGGCAGCAGUGGGGAAUAUUGGGCAAUGGGCGAAAGCCUGACCCAGCCACGCCGCGUGAGUGAUGAAGGCCUUCGGGUCGUAAAGCUCU